AGUGAACGCUGGCGGUAGGCCUAACACAUGCAAGUCGAACGGCAGCACAGUAAAAGCUUGCUCUUACGGGUGGCGAGUGGCGGACGGGUGAGGUAUACAUCGGAAUCUACUUUUUCGUGGGGGAUCACGUAGGGAGACUUACGCUAAUACCGCAUACGACCUACGGGUGAAAGCAGGGGAUCUUCGGACCUUGCGCGAUUGAAUGAGCCGAUGUCGGAUUAGCUAGUUGGCGGGGUAAAGGCCCACCAAGGCGACGAUCCGUAGCUGGUCUGAGAGGAUGAUCAGCCACACUGGAACUGAGACACGGUCCAGACUCCUACGGGAGGCAGCAGUGGGGAAUAUUGGACAAUGGGCGCAAGCCUGAUCCAGCCAUACCGCGUGGGUGAAGAAGGCCUUCGGGUUGUAAAGCCCUUUUGUUGGGAAAGAAAAGCAGCAGGUUAAUACCCCGCUGUUCUGACGGUACCCAAAGAAUAAGCACCGGCUAACUUCGUG
This 492-nucleotide ribosomal RNA is filed under the name uncultured bacterium. Its description in RNAcentral is "partial 16S ribosomal RNA". It matches the Rfam family "Bacterial small subunit ribosomal RNA", at positions 29 to 507 of the family's 1533-position model. The record is from RNAcentral.